This 600-nucleotide long non-coding RNA is filed under the name Ursus maritimus (polar bear). Its description in RNAcentral is "lncRNA (ENSUMAG00000009611.1)". Lineage: Eukaryota; Metazoa; Chordata; Mammalia; Carnivora; Ursidae. The record is from RNAcentral.
AGUCUCCUUCGCGAGCUUAAGAAACAUUUUCAGCAGCUCGGGCUGUUGAUAGUGAACAAGAGGAAAUGUAAAGAAUUCCACCCAGAGCUCACAGUGGUAUCCACGGUUCAACCGAACAAUUUCUGUGCUUUAUGCUCGAGGAGACCUGCAAGAGAUAAUUUUGUGACUUUUCUAACCAGAUACCCAGGUGGAGGGAGAGGUGCCGAACGGGGUUUUGGCCCCAGGCCUGCUGGGUCUCAGGAGCUGUGCCGAGCUCUGUCAUACAAACUUGGAGCGAGAUGUUGUCCUCCAGACGCUGGCUCCACAGCACCCGGAGAAUCUCCAGUGCUUUGGGAAGCAUGCUAUCACAAAAUAAACAGGCAGCAUGUCCCGAAGCUGAUAAAUGGAUGCAGAGGGCCAGCCCGUCUUCCUGACAGCAGGGCAAUCCCCCUGAGCUCAACCACAGCACAACAGUCCCUCAGAAAUUCACCCUUUCAGGCAGUGAGGGGGAGGUUGGAGCACAUCCAAGGAGGCAACCAUCUCACGGGAUGUGGCACAUCAGGGUGCACCCCACGAGGCUCUCUCCUAUCUCUCCCAGGACUCCACCUUUCCACCAGGUGA